RNAcentral lists this transfer RNA (67 nucleotides) under Acanthopsyche nigraplaga. RNAcentral's name for it is "tRNA-Cys". The record is from RNAcentral. Lineage: Eukaryota; Metazoa; Arthropoda; Insecta; Lepidoptera; Psychidae.
AGUCUUAUAUUCAAUAAAUGAUAUUAAAUUGCAAGUUUAAAGUAAUAAUAGUAUAUUAUUAAGACUU